UAAGGUGAAACCGCAAAUGGCUCAUUAAAUCAGUUAUGGUUCAUUAGAUGAUACACCACAUUACUUGGAUAACUGUGGUAAUUCUAGAGCUAAUACAUGCAAACAGAGUUCCCACCGGAGACGGUAGGAACGCUUUUAUUAGAUCAAAACCAAUACGUUCGUUCUUCGGACGCUACAAUUGGUGACUCUGAAUAACUUUUUGAUGAUCGCAUGGUCCUAGUACCGGCGACAAGUCUUUCAAAUGUCUGCCUUAUCAACUGUCGAUGGUAGGCUCUGCGCCUACCAUGGUUGUAACGGGUGACGGGGAAUCAGGGUUCGAUUCCGGAGAGGGAGCCUGAGAAACGGCUACCACAUCCAAGGAAGGCAGCAGGCGCGCAAAUUACCCACUCCCGGCACGGGGAGGUAGUGACGAAAAAUAACGAUACGGGACUCAUCCGAGGCCCCGUAAUCGGAAUGAGUACACUUUAAAUACUUUAACAAGUAUCCAUUGGAGGGCAAGUCUGGUGCCAGCAGCCGCGGUAAUUCCAGCUCCAAUAGCGUAUAUUAAAGUUGUUGCGGUUAAAAAGCUCGUAGUUGGGACUGUGUCCCGCACUGUCGGUGCGCCAUUUAUGGUGUUUACUGACAUGCUGCGGGACGUC
RNAcentral lists this ribosomal RNA (638 nucleotides) under Thekalabis sp. DM16. Its description in RNAcentral is "SSU rRNA". It matches the Rfam family "Eukaryotic small subunit ribosomal RNA", at positions 77 to 698 of the family's 1831-position model. The record is from RNAcentral. Lineage: Eukaryota; Metazoa; Arthropoda; Insecta; Dermaptera; Anisolabididae.